GCGGAACCAGGUAAAAGAAAAUCAAUCAUGGCUGCUCCGAUUGAGUCGGUUCAAUGUUUCGGCCGGAAAAAGACGGCGGUUGCAGUCACCUACUGCAAGCGCGGUAGAGGUUUGAUUAAGAUCAAUGGAUGCCCAAUCGAACUCGUGGAGCCAGAGAUCCUCCGUUUCAAGGCUUAUGAGCCUAUCCUCCUCCUUGGACGUCACAGGUUCUCUGGUGUCGACAUGCGUAUCAGAGUAAAGGGUGGAGGUCACACCUCGCAGAUUUACGCCAUCCGUCAGAGUAUCGCCAAAGC
RNAcentral lists this long non-coding RNA (293 nucleotides) under Cucumis sativus (cucumber). RNAcentral's name for it is "long non-coding RNA (CSAT_LNC002666)". Lineage: Eukaryota; Viridiplantae; Streptophyta; Magnoliopsida; Cucurbitales; Cucurbitaceae. The record is from RNAcentral.